This 497-nucleotide ribosomal RNA is filed under the name uncultured bacterium. RNAcentral describes it as "partial 16S ribosomal RNA". It matches the Rfam family "Bacterial small subunit ribosomal RNA", at positions 28 to 507 of the family's 1533-position model. The record is from RNAcentral.
GAUGAACGCUGGCGGCGUGCCUAAUACAUGCAAGUCGAGCGAACAGACGAGGAGCUUGCUCCUCUGACGUUGGCGGCGGACGGGUGAGUAACACGUGGAUAACCUACCUAUAAGACUGGGAUAACUUCGGGAAACCGGAGCUAAUACCGGAUAAUAUAUUGAACCGCAUGGUUCAAUAGUGAAAGACGGUUUUGCUGUCACUUAUAGAUGGAUCCGCGCCGCAUUAGCUAGUUGGUAAGGUAACGGCUUACCAAGGCAACGAUGCGUAGCCGACCUGAGAGGGUGAUCGGCCACACUGGAACUGAGACACGGUCCAGACCCCUACGGGAGGCAGCAGUAGGGAAUCUUCCGCAAUGGGCGAAAGCCUGACGGAGCAACGCCGCGUGAGUGAUGAAGGUCUUCGGAUCGUAAAACUCUGUUAUUAGGGAAGAACAAAUGUGUAAGUAACUAUGCACGUCUUGACGGUACCUAAUCAGAAAGCCACGGCUAACUACGUG